RNAcentral lists this ribosomal RNA (477 nucleotides) under uncultured bacterium. RNAcentral describes it as "partial 16S ribosomal RNA". It matches the Rfam family "Bacterial small subunit ribosomal RNA", at positions 29 to 507 of the family's 1533-position model. The record is from RNAcentral.
AUGCACGCUAGCGGGAGGCCUAACACAUGCAGGCCGAGCGGUAGAGUUUCUUCGGAACCUUGAGAGCGGCGCACGGGUGCGUAACACGUGUGCAACCUACCUUUAUCUGGGGGAUAGCCUUUCGAAAGGAAGAUUAAUACCCCAUAAUAUAAUGAUUGGCAUCAAUUAUUAUUGAAAACUCCGGUGGAUAGAGAUGGGCACGCGCAAGAUUAGAUAGUUGGUGAGGUAACGGCUCACCAAGUCAAUGAUCUUUAGGGGUCCUGAGAGGGAGAUCCCCCACACUGGUACUGAGACACGGACCAGACUCCUACGGGAGGCAGCAGUGAGGAAUAUUGGACAAUGGGUGAGAGCCUGAUCCAGCCAUCCCGCGUGAAGGAUGACGGCCCUAUGGAUUUAAACUUCUUUUGUACAGGGAUAAACCUACCCUCGUGAGGGUAGCUGAAGGUACUGUACGAAUAAGCACCGGCUAACUCCGUG